Molecule: ribosomal RNA, 209 nt
Filed under: uncultured bacterium
Lineage: Bacteria
Description: partial 16S ribosomal RNA
Rfam family: Bacterial small subunit ribosomal RNA
Source: RNAcentral
AGUUCAGACUGCAGGCUGCAACCGCCUGCAUGAAGUCGGAAUUGCUAGUAAUCGCGGAUCAGCAUGCCGCGGUGAAUACGUUCCUGGGCCUUGUACACACCGCCCGUCACACCAUGGGAGCCGGUAAUACCCGAAGUCAGUAGUCCAACCUCGUGAGGACGCUGCCGAAGGUAGGAUUGGCGACUGGGGUGAAGUCGUAACAAGGUACC